UACGUAGGGGGCAAGCGUUAUCCGGAUUCAUUGGGCGUAAAGCGCGCGUAGGCGGUCUGUUAGGUCGGGAGUUAAAUUCCGGGGCUCAACCCCGGCCCGCUCCCGAUACCGGCAGACUUGAGUUUGGUAGGGGAAGGUGGAAUUCCCAGUGGAGCGGUGGAAUGCGCAGAUAUUGGGAAGAACACCGGUGGCGAAGGCGGCCUUCUGGGCCACAACUGACGCUGAGGCGCGAAAGCUAGGGGAGCAAACA
This 250-nucleotide ribosomal RNA is filed under the name uncultured prokaryote. RNAcentral's name for it is "partial 16S ribosomal RNA". It matches the Rfam family "Bacterial small subunit ribosomal RNA", at positions 524 to 774 of the family's 1533-position model. The record is from RNAcentral.